RNAcentral lists this long non-coding RNA (13660 nucleotides) under Nicotiana tabacum (common tobacco). RNAcentral's name for it is "long non-coding RNA (NTAB_LNC010658)". Lineage: Eukaryota; Viridiplantae; Streptophyta; Magnoliopsida; Solanales; Solanaceae. The record is from RNAcentral.
AAUUAUUUCUUUCCUAUUUUAGAAAGGAGCAGUCUGCAUCUGUAACACCCCAGACUUUAGACAGAGUCCCACAUCGGCAAAACACAAAAGUGGUAUCUAUCACAACCCAAAACUCCCUCCGUAAAACGUCGUGACGGUACCUACUCUCUAAAACUAGCUAAGCCUAUCAAAUGCAGAAAUAACAAAAAUGGAAGUAAAACUUAAUAACUAACUGCAACAUAUAACUAAAUAACUGGUAGAAAUGACCGCUCGGUAUGUACAAUAACCAACACUCUAGUAAUACACAGUAUUCCCAAAAUCUGAAACAUCAUAAGUCACAAGCUACAGGAGGAAACAAAUAUCUCUAUACACCAGAGUCUAAUAAAAGAAGUACAUAAGGUAAUUGACAUAGGGGAGAAUAGAAGGGGACUCUGAGGUCUGCGGACGCAGCAGAUGUACCUUGAAGUCUCCGUAUAACAGUAAGCACUCUCAGCUAAUAGAGGGGCUGAUAAGAAGUACCUGGAUCUGCACACAAAAACAUGUGCAGAAAAGUAGCAUAAGUACACCACAACGGUACCCAGUAAGUGCCAAACCUAACCUCGGUCGAGUAGUGACGAGGUCAGGUCAGGCCCACUGGUAUAUAAUAAAUAAUGCAGGGGAAUAUAACAGUAUAUUAAAAGGAAAACACAGCAAAAAUAGCAGAACAACACACAGGGGGUCAACAAUACGGGAUCUCCCGAGAUACCAUCUCGUAGUCCCAAAGUAAAUAACAAAGACAAUCUCCCAACGUACCGCCAAGUAAAUAUGCAGGGAGAACUCCCGAGGAACCGCCUCGUAGUCUCAAAAGUAAACACAUAGCUAAAAUCGAUAAAUACAAUAAUUAAUAGUGAUAAUGCUAUAGUUAAGACUAAUAAAGAACAAGGAAAAAUAGGAAAUCAACUAGGCAUGCUGCACAUAGUUCGAGUAAGCAGUUAAAGAACGUAGACAUGCGAUAUUAGACUAAAUAGGAUAACUACACAUGUUGGUAUAACUCACUUAAGAAUGAAAGUAGGUUACUACUCAAUAAAAAUUCGGGUUUUUCCACAAUAGCCCGUGUACGCACCCGUCACCUCACGUACACGGCGCUCACAUAUCACAAUAGUGCCAAAUCCUAAGGGGAUUUGUCCCACACAAGGUUAGGCAAGCCACUUACCUCGAACCAAGCUCAAUCACUCAGCAAGAAUGCCCUUUCCUCGAUUAUCCGACUCUAAAUGGCACAAAUCUAGCCAAAAACAAUUACAUAUCAAAAAUACAACUAUAAUAGACUAAUCUAAUUAAUAAAAUCAAGACUUUAACAAAAAUUUCGAAAAUUUUCCAAAAAGGUCGACCUGGGCCCACGUAUCAGAAUCAGAUAAGAAACACAAAAUAUGAACACCCAUUCACUCACGAGUUCACUCGUACCAAAAUUUCCCAAAUUCGAUAUCAAAAUCCCAAUAAAAACUCAAAAACUUAGUUCAAGAACUUCUCCCAUUUUUCCCAAAUUUCUCAACCAAAUUCCUUAAUUAAAUGAUGGAAUCAACUAUAGAUUAGUAGAAUAUAACCUUAAAUGAGUUAAGAAUCAUUACGAAAAAGUUCUUUCUGAAAAAUCCUUGAAUUAUCGCCUCAAUCAGAGCUCUCAAAGACCCAAAAUGAAAAUGAGAUCAAACCCUCGAAAUUUUCCCUUUUCUGCUCAGCGAUCUCGCACCUGCGGACCUCUAGUCGCACCUAUGGAAAUUCCAUCGUAGGUGCGGAAAUGACAUAAGAGGGAUGGGUUUGUUUCUGCGAUGAGGUGGCCACACCUGCACAUCUGCUUUUGCGAGACUCUGACCGCUUCUGCGAUCCCGGCUGGGCAGGCCCAUAAUCGACCCACUUCUGCGGUGCCGCACCUACGGCCCAAAAUGCGUAGGUGCGAUUACACUAGGUGCAGCAACUUCAGCCAAUCCAACACAUUUCCAAAUGAUCUGUUAACCACUCGAAAUCAACCUGAGGCCCCCGAGACCUCAACCAAACAUACCAACAAGUCCUAAAACAUCAUACAAAAUUUGUCGAGCCCUUAAAUCAUAUCGAACAACAACAAAAGCACGAAUCACACUCCAAAUCAAAAUUAAUGAACUUGGAACUUCAAACUUCCACAACCGAUGCCAAAGCCUAUAAAAUCACGUCCGAUUGACCUCAAAUUUUGCACACAAGUCAUAAUUGACAUUUCAUACCUACUCCAACUUCCGCAAUCAGAAUCCGAGCCCGAUAUCAAAAAGUACACUAGCGGUCAAACUUCCCAAAAAUUUGACUUUCGCCAUUUCAAGCCUAAAUCGGCUACAGACCUCUAAUUCAUGUUCCAGACACUCUCCUAAGUCCAAAUUCACCCAACGGAGCUAACGGAACCUGCGAAACUCCAUUCCAGAGUCAUCUUCUCAUAGUUCCAACUAUGGUAAAAAAUCCUAAGAUUUAAGCUUCUGGUUUAGGGAUUAAGUAUCCCAAAACACUCUGAAACCACGAACAACACCUCCCGUCAAGUCACAUAAGCAGAAAAUGAUACGGAGGAAGCAGUAAAUAGGGGAUCAAGGCUAUUACUCUUAAAAUGAUUGGUCGGGUCGCUACAGUAUCAAAGCCCUCUUGUAUUUUGGCGAUGUGGGACCCUGUCUAAUGUAUGGGGUGUUAUAUAAACCCCUUCUUAUGGACUCAAUAUCCUUGCUGAGGUUUUCCCCACCGCAUGGGAUUCGCCUACACUCAGCACUGAGGUUUGCCCCGCUUAAUCGAGAUUUGCCUAAAUUAAGUUGAACUCUGACCCAACAUCUGCAAUGCUGACACAAGAGUGGCUCUGAUACCAUUUGUAACAAACCACCCACUAGUGAUAUUGUCCACUCUGGGUAUAGGCCCCCAUGGGUUUAAAACGUGUCACUAAGGUCUAAGGCUUCUUAACUUAUAUACCCAGCAUCCCUUUUGUGUUUUGCCGAUUUGGGACUCUAUCUAAAGUCUGGGUAGUUACAUACACCCCUUCUUAUGGACUUAGCAUCCUCGCUGAGGUUCCCCACCGCAUGGGAUUUUCUUAGACUCAGCACUGAGGUGUGCCCCACCUAACCGGGAUUUGCCAAAACUCAGUUGAACUCUGAUCCACCAUUAACAUGGCUAACACAAGAGUGGCUUUGAUACCAUUUGCAGCAAACCAGCCUGCUUAUAAUAUUGUCCGCUCUAGGCCUAGGCCUUAACGAAUUUAAAAUGCAUCACUAGGGUCUAAGGCUUAUUAACUUAUAUACCCAGAAUCACUCUUGUAUUUUGCCUAUGUGGGACUCUGUCUAAUGUCUGGGGUAUUACAACAUCAUUAUGGAAUGGAGAAAAAAAACAAGUUAAAUAAUACAACUGGAAAUUCUGAGUUUUUCAUCUAUGAUUUAUCUUUAGAAUAGAAAACUCACCAAUAACUAAGAAGGGGUGUAGGGGAUGCAUAUACACCAAGAACUCUAUAUAUAUGCACCAAGAACCAUUUCUUGCUUACAAACGCUAUACAAAUUCAUAAACAAAAACUAGAGUUUGAAAAAAGAGAGAAGCAUAAUAGAAUGAGCGCUUCAAGUUCAUCGAACAUUUCCAAUGAAGAUUAUUGGAAAUUAUUUCGUGGAAUGUCAGUCACUGUUAUGAGAAAAAUAUAUUUAGAAAAGAGGGUAUAGAAGCAUAUCUAGGGAUGCACAAACGUCACUUGGUAAUACUGCAAGAGUGUGAAACGCAUAUCAACUGGAAAACUAGCACUAAACAUGAAAACUUGGUGUUACUAUGGGACAAAGAACGCAUCAACUAUGAUAUAUCUUUUAGAUAUCACAAAAAAAAUGCUAGAGGGAUUGACAAAUAUUCAGUUGGUUAAAUAUCCAUCGGUUAAGUUCGAAUUUCAUGUAGUUUAUGGAGAUCUAACAUAUGGUCUAGAUUUAGAACCAUUAAAAUUGAUACCAUAUCCUGAGUCACGUAGUAAGUUAUAUGAUACAUCAUGACCUAUGAUUGGGGGAAGCUAAUCUAACCCGCCCAUCAAAGAGAAGCAUUAGAUCUCUAAAUACAAAAGAGCAGAUGAGUAACUUCAUCAAUUUUAUGGCUAUCCCCGGUAUUUUAGAUUUAGAUUUUAGCCCUUUUACAUAUGGAGAUACAAAAUCACUACUAAGAUUAUCCAAACUUGAUAGGAUAAUCUGCACUUCGAAAUUUUACACUUCAUUUGAACGUGUAACACCAACGAUUCUAGGAAGUGACAUUUCAACCUGUAUGCCGAUAAAGUUGAGGUUGGCACGCCCAGGUAAAGUUGCACAAGUAGAGAAGAAAAAAUUGGUAUCCAAAUAGUCACUAUGUGAGAAUUAAGUCCAAUUGCAGCUGUGUUGGUUUUGUGAAACUACGAGAUUGUCAGUUAUCUUCUCUCCCCCCUCCCUUUUUCAGGGCCAUGAACAGUGUACUUCUAAUAAUGCUUUCAAUUAUGGGUAUUCAUAAGAACCCGAAAAAUCAAACCAAACCAAAAACUGAACCAAACCAAAAAAAAAACCGAUACUUUUUAGGUUUGGCUGGGUUUUGGUUUUGAAUCUUAAAAACCAAUUAAAUUUGGUUUGGUUUUAGUUUUAAUCAAAAAAUAACCGAAAAAACCAAACCAAACUGACUAUAAAAUUAUUUAUUUUGAAUUUAUUAUUAGACCUAUAUAUAUGUAUAUUUUUAUAUAAAAUUUAUAAAAUUUUAUGGUACAUAUUAGUCAUUUGUAUUUUUAGUCUAGUUCAUUGCUAUUAUAAUAAUCUAAUUCUUUGCCUUUACAUUUUAGUUUGAUUGGUAGUUUUGUUUUACCAAUUACAAGAAUUUAUUUCAUGUUAAAAAUAAUCGAUUUUUAAUUGAGUACUUAAAUUCUUUAUCACUAUUUGAUUCGAUAAUCAUCAAUAUAUCUUGAAAAUGAUAGAUUUCUCAAAAUGCAAUUGAUUUGAUAGUGUUACAUUGAAAAUGUAGUCGACGGAAUAUGUGUUUGGUAGUGUAUGUAUGAUAUUUAAGAAACAAACCGAUAAAUAACCGAACACCGACAUAAACCACAUCGAUAAAAACAUACUCAAUUGGUUUGGUUUGGUUCCAAUAUUUGAAAAACCCACUUACUUGGUUUGGUUUCUUUUUAGGAAAAAACUAACUCAAACCGAACUAUGAACACCCCUAGUUGUGUUAUAGCGAGGGCUCAAGUCAAUUUUUCAUAUUUCCAAAAGUGAGCUCUACAGAAAGCUGUAAGCAAAUUUGCAAGUAGAUGAAAACACCGGUUGUGAUAAUAUAUUACCCUCUUAAUAUUGUACCUGAGAAGAUAAAGUUUAAAAAAAGGCAGUAAAGAGAACGAAGGAAGAUCUCAAAUCUUUUACAUUAAAGUUCUAGAGUACUACAAAGUAUCAAAGAAAGGUGAAGAUGUACUUCAUAUGAAGUGGAAUUUAUUUGGUUCCUAUUUUAGAAAGGAGCAGUCUGCAUCUCUAAUACCCCAGACUUUAGACAGAAUCCAACGUCGGCAAAACACAAGAGUGGUAUCACAACCCUCUUGUGUUUUGGCGAUGUGGGACUCUAUCUAAAGCCUGGGGUGUUACAUACACCCCCUCUUAUAGACUCAGUGUCCUCGUUGAGGUUUGCCCCACCGCAUGGGAUUCGCCUACACUCAGCACUGAGUAUUGCCCCGCCUAACUGAGAUUUUCCUAAAUUAAAUUGAACUCUGACCCAACAUCGGCAAGGCUGACACACGAGUGACUUUGAUACCAUUUGUAAAAGACCAACCCGCUAGUGAUAUUGUCCGCUCUGGGCUAGGCCCUCACGGGUUUAAAAUGCAUCACUAAGGUCUAAGGAUUGUUAACUUAUAUACCCAGUAUCCCUCUUAUGAUUUGCCGAUGUGGAACUUUAUCUAAAGUCUGGGAUGUUACAUACACCCCGUCUUAUGGACUCAGCGUCCUCACUGAGGUUUUCCCCUCCACAUGGGAUUCGCCUAGACUCAGCAUUGAGGUUUGCCCCGCCUAACUAGGAUUCGCCUAAACUCAGUUGAACUCUGACACACCAUUAACAUGGCUGACACAAGAGUGGCUUUGAUACCAUUUGUAGCAGACCAGCCCGCUAGUGAUAUUGUCUACUCCGGGCCUAGGCCUUCACAGAUUUAAAAUGCGUAACUAGGGUCUAAGAUUUAUUAACUUACAUACCCAGCAUCACUCUUGUGUUUUGCCGAUGUGGGACUCUUUCUAAUGUUUGGGAUGUUACAACAUCAUAUUUUUAUAUAAAGUUUAUAAAAUUUUAUGGUACAUAUUAGUCAUUUGUAUUUUUAGUCUAGUUCUUUGCUAUUAUAAUAAUCUAAUUCUUUGCCUUUAAAUUCUAGUUUGAUUGGUAGUUUUCUUUUACUAAUUACAAAAAUUUAUUUCAUGUUAAAAAUAAACGAUUUUUAAUUGAGUACUUAAAUUCUUCUUCACUAUUUGAUUCGAUUAUCAUCAAUAUAUCUCAAAAAUGAUAGAUUUCUCAAAGAGCAAUUGAUUUGAUAGUGUUACAUUGAAAAUGUAGUCGCCUAAAUAUGCGUUUGGUAGUGUAUGUCUCAUAUUUAAGAAAAGAAACCGAUAAAUAACAAAAAAAACCGAAAAACCUUUUGGUCGCUUGAGUCCAAAAAUACCAUACUUUUUUUCCGGGCUCGGGAGUAUUCAAUGGCUGUGAUCAUAGGAAUGGUCAGGUUUUCGGAUUUCCUCAGCUGAGCUCUGCAGAAAGCUGUAAGGAGAGUUGAACUGAAACUAGAAAUGGUAGCUACAUUUUGUUUGGUUACAGGGGCAGAAAAAUAAUUCGGAUAUAAAAUUAGAGAUUAUUUUAUCCAGCGUUUGAAUAGGAUUUCAUUUUUGAAAACAGAACAAAGACCCAUUUGUCCAUAAAAUAUUGUCCUUUUUUCCAUCCGAUUUUAGGGAAUUCAUUGGAUCGUGAAGUUGCUUCACACCUGGCCAUAUCGAGGGAAUGAUAAUGAACUUGUCCCUAAAAAAAGAGAAAAGAUCUAGAAUGGGAGAGGAUGAUCAUUGAGAAAGAUACCUUAACAAGUUGGUCAUCUGUCAGGACUAGAAUGUGAGUUCUUCUUAUUAUUAGUGAGUUGUUGCCCCUCAUACUCUUCUUUCCGAUUUUGGCUCGCUCUACUUAUCUAAUGUAACCCCCAAUCUUCCUUCAUACGAAGGCAUUGUAACAUAUAUAUCAAAUAAAAGAUUCUACUAAUCUUCAAAAUAUUGUUUGGUUAUACAUUUAACUGAAAUUUUGAAGAUGAGAUUUAAAUUUCAAAAAAUGGAAUUUAGAUGCAAUCUGAAAUGCUAUCUUCUAAAUUCAUAAUGAUGUCUAAAGACCACCAGUUAGAUGCAUUGAAACAAGACAAAUAAGUCAUUUCCAGAAUCAUACAAAAGCUAAUUUCCUACAUCAUCAGAAUCUACACAUAAAAGCAAGGGGAACUCUAAGGAAUCGUUUGGUUUGAAGACUAGUUAUUCUUGUAUUAUUUCUUAUUGAUUGUUUGAUAUGUUAUAUUAAUCCUAAGAUUAUCAAUUUUAUUAUUUUAUCCUGGGAGAACUUAUCCUGAGAUUAUUAUUCCACAAUCUGAUAGUUAUAAAUUAUCCCGGUAUUAUUUUUAGUCCUGGGAUAACUUAUCCCAGGAUUAGUAACCAAACAAGAGAUAAGGCAAUACUAUAUUUUUAUCCCGAAAUUUUAUUUAUCCAUCAUACCAAAUGACCCCUAAGGAGAAUCUAAAGAUAAUUAAAGUCCUUGAAAACUUGAGGAGGAUGUACAACAUGCAAUAAUAGAACAAAGAAACAAAUUGUUUGCUGCUAGAAAAAAAUAAAAUUCCAAAAAUCCAACUAACUGAAAUCAACAAGAUUUAUAGACUUGUUGCUUCGCUUUCAAUGACCAUCAUUGAGGUACCACCAUGUUCAUCAUCUCACUCUAAUUCACUGGAGGAAUCUCCUCAUGCAACAAAAGCUUGUUUCACAACAUUGUCAUCAAUAUCUUUUCUCUUGAAUCUUCUGUCAGGAACCGGGUUCCUCUUGGCUGCUUUGCCUGUGUUAUGCUUGUAAUGAUCUUUCUUGUACAAAGGACAACCUUUGAUGAAAUAUCCUGAAUUUCCACAUAUAUGAUACAAGUCAUAGCCUUUUGAUCUGCUGGAGCUACCCCUUUUUGGAAUGCCUCCAUUUUUGCGCAACAUUUUAUGGAAUCUUUUUGUUAGAUAGGCCAUGUCAGCAUCUUUGUCUCUUAAGUAAAUAUUGUCAGCCUUGAGGACUAGGUUCUUCUCCCUUUUGGGUUCUCUUCUUUCAUGGUCCUUCUUUUUCUUCAUUUCAUACAUCUUCAGAUUUCCAAUGAGUUCAUCAAUGGUCAACUUUUGUAGAUCCUUUGUCUUUGUGAUAGCAUUGACCUUUCUUUCUCAGGAACCAGGUAGUACACUAAGUAUUUUCUUGACAAGUUUGUUCCUUGAAAUGAUUUCUCCCAAAGAGUUGAGCUCAUUGAUGAUGGAGGUGAAUCGAGUGUGCAUAUCCUGAAUGGACUCAUCAUCCUUCAUCAUGAAGAAUUCAUACUCAGUGGUGAGCAUGUCAAUCUUCGACUGCUUGACUUGAGUUGUUCCUUCGUGCGCUGUUUGGAGAGCUUCCCAGAUCUCCUUGGCUUAUUGACAGGCAGAGAUCCUGUUGUAUUCGUCUAGUCCAAUACUACAGACAAGGAUCUUUUUUGCUCGAACGUUCUUCUCUAUAGCUUUGCGUUCAACAUCAUUGUACUCCUUCCUUGUCUUGGGAGCUGUCACUGCUGGUUCAUCAAUGCUCUUCAUAGGGACGAAGGGUCCAUCACAGAUAACAUCCCAGAGCUCUAAAUCUUCAGCCAUAAUAAAAUCAUGCAUCCUUGUAUUCCAUUAUUCGUAGUAUUGUCCAUUGAACUUUGGUGAUCUAUAGGUAGAUUGACCUUCUUCAAAGUUUGGUGGAGCAGUCAUGAGGAUCCUUUCUAGGUGUUAGCCUGAUAGAAAGAACCUGCUCUGAUACCAAUUGAUAGAAACAUAAGAGUCCACCAAACUAUAUAGAGAACCUAGUUCUCUAUCAGUUCCCACACAAUACACACAAAUAAAGAUAAGUAAAUGACACAUCAGAGUUUUACGUGGAAAACUCCCAGCUCACGCAAUUAAAAACCACGACAUACAGUUGUAGGAUUCCAACAUCACUACUGAGCAAACUUCAGAUACAAACUUUUGUAACCUAGGAAUUAAACUCUUAAUCCCCCACUCACUUGUAAUAACUCUAUUACAAGCCUGUUUGUAAUAACUCUGUUACAAAGCUCACAACUCGCCCAACUCUAGCCAAGACACAAACAUAAGGUUUGUGGUUUUACAACAGAUUUCCUACGCAAUGCUUCUAGCUAAGCUAAGUAGGAAUUACAAGUAGAUUGCUCUAACAAAGGUACAACACAACGAAGGACAUAUGGUAAUGCAGUGAUGGAAACUGGUCCUUGUUCUGUUGUUCUUCGUUCUUGAAAGCUGGAAGCCACUUGCAGAUGGGAACACACUAAGAGAGAAGCUUGAUAAUUUUCUAAGUGUUCAAGUGACUUGUUUUCUCUUGCAUCAUGUUGAUAAUAUACAAGUGACGUCACUUGGAUGAUGAAAGCAAUUAUCCGGUACUCAUAAAGUGACUCCUGCACUAUUUGCACUGUUGUGUGUGUGCAGAGGAACAGUUGCAGUGACUUUAUAGCUUUGGGGAGUUGACUGGUAUAGUCAGCAAGAGAACUGAUGUCCAUCUGUUCCCUCUGUUAUUUCUUUGACUCUGAUUGUUGGAACUUGUGCCCGACUUGAGACUUGUUGUUCUGAGGAUGUGUAACAGGUUCCCCAUCUGGUUCUUAUUAUUAUGUUUGUUAGAUCAUCAAAAUAAAACAGGGCACAUAACCUAUUAGAAAACAUAUUGUAGUAUCUUGUAUUUAGUGUUGAAUUUGUUUUUCUUUAUCUUUUCUAAGUUAAUGAACAAUAAUUUAGUAAUAGUAUAUAGAACUUAGAGGGGGGGGGGGGGGGGAUAAGAUAUUCCAUUGGCAAGAAGCCAAUCAUCUUCUUUAUCCUUGUAUCUAAGUUUAUAAGCAUUAUCAUUUUCUUGACAUGUAUAAAAUAAGUAAUUCACCAAAAAAAAUUCCAAAAUAGUAAUAAAAAACUCCAAAGAUCACUUCAGCAAAGUAGCAAACAUCUAUCGAUUCAACGACAGUGACUGAGACUCUGCAUGGAUUGCUUGAUAGACCUUUAAUCUUGAUCUUAUUUGACAAAGUUUUUUAUAUUUUUGUACAUCCUUUCGAUCUCUGACUCAUAUUCAUGAAAUUUUCAAGGAGUUAGCGCGCCAAAUUUUAUCGUUAUUAGCUGACAUAUCUGUAUUAAAGAUAGUGGUGCCCCCAUUGCCCUCAAAUCCUGAGUCUGCCUUUGUACACUAGAGCUAUGAUAACCACAUAAAUGACAUGUUUUGAGCCACAAGUUUUACCAUUCUUCAUGUUUUUCUUACUCCAUUCCGUUUCAAAUUUUCACAUAAAUUGAAGCAAAGCGAGUAGCAGAUUAACUAAUUAUAACAGUACAGGGCAAGCAUGCCUUGAUGUCUAUGGCAUUCUAGUACGUGCCAUAGGGGGAUUUACCAAAACGGGCUCAGCGGAUACCUUCACCGAUAUUUUUUAAUUUGAGCGGUUGGAUGAGCGGCUAUUUGGGAUAAUUCUUCUAAGGAAAACUAAGAGAAACUACAGCAAUACAAAGAUAAAGUAGCAUAAAAACAGACCCCAAGGCUGGAAGACGAAAGGCAUUAAAUGCAAAUAAAUUGAGUUUUUCGUCCAUUCAAGCCAGAGCACACACAUGAAUGCUGCAACAAUACAAAUCCUUAGAGCACAAAACAAAAAAUUUAAAUUCCAAUGGUACCCUUGCAGCUAGUAAGCAUGCUUAUCAUGAGGUGACUAGUUUUCAUUUAUAAGAAGGCAUUAUACAAUAAUGGAGAAAUUUGUCAAAAAAUUAUCCCUUUCCAUUUUACGCCAUCUGUGUCAUAUAAAGAUGGAAAAUAUGUCAAGAACAGGUUAAUCCCUUAAGACAUCACUAAUACCACAUUAGGUCCUCACAUUUCUGUCGUCAGAGAUCUAAACUGGUUAAUCCCUUAAGUCUUGACAUGUAGAGAAGGUUUCAUCAACUAAAAAGUCGAUCACCAUAAGUAAAAAUGAUUUUUUUUUGUUUGGGGGGGCACAUCUCGACAACUCGUUUUCUAUUUCCAUUUCUAAUAACUACUAGACCAACUAUUUCACUCUCAUAUUCACCUAAUUGAUAGUUCUUUGAUUUUUGCAUCCCUAAUGUAUGUACUACUUUUAACUCAUACCCUUAUCCUUUUAUUUUUUUUGAAUUACCGCCUAAUCAAUUCAUUUCUUUUAGGGAGGAAUAGCAGUUUUUCUCCCUGUGUUAAUUUAGGGUAGCACAUUUAAACUUUAAGUAAACAAAAUGACUGCUUAUAUUCAUUUUUCUAACAGGGACUAACAGUCCAAACCAAAUGUUUACUACUGAAAACGGCUUUUGGGUAUAACAACUAGAACACUUUUAAAAAGACCUAAUUAUUCGAAGAGGAAACAAUUAGAGCUCUUUCCACGGUUAAUUUGGUUUUAUAAAGACUAAAAAAAAAUUUGAUUGAAUAAGUGAUCCAUUACUUUGUCACUGGUAUCGCAGAGUUCAGAAAUUCCAACACCAACCACAAGGAUUCGUGAUUUUAGUUUUAAUGCAUUAAUCCACAGUUGCAGUUUAAGGUUAAAAUUUCAAUUUCAUUCCUCGGGGAACUUCUUUCUUUCUCUUCCUUUAUUUUAUAAUUGACAAAAAAAUAGUUCAUAUUUUGCACCUUGAAAACUGAACUCUUUCACAAUUUUGCAAAUAUAUGAAUCUAUUAAGGAGUAAAUUGUAAAAUAAAAAAAGGAUUAGGUGUGAAUCAAAAAGUAACGGAUAGGUUAAGGGUAUAAAAUUCAAAUAACUCCCUAUUUGAUCACCCAACAUUUGUAAACUUUGCACCUUAGAAGACAUGUAGCAAAUGUAUGCAAGAACUGAAUAUAUUUAGCUGUAGUUUUAAAUCCAGACGACAUACCUUUGCCCGCUGCGUGCUCCCAAUAGUAAUGUAUGCUAUAGACACGAAGACCAUCUCCUCCUCUAUUCCACUCUUUAGCAAGCCCAACAGGCAAUCAAGGACGUUACGUUUAGCAAUGCUCCGGGUUGCGAUCAUCAUCUUACAAAAUUCGGAUCUUCACUUAGUUAGUAGGAAAAAAUAGUCCCACGCAGUCUAAUUUUCAAAUAAGAGGAAUACCCAUUGAGAGCAAAUGCUCUAUAUGUGAAGAGUAACCCGAGGACACAAACCGCCUAUUUCUACAUUGAAAAAUUACUCCUCAAUUGUGGCAUAUGUUUUUCAUCAAUCUGGGCUCAAAAUGGACAAUUCCUAGAGAUAUCUACGAAAGUAAGGCCCCAUUUUGAAGUUUACAAGUACAAUUUUUGAGCGUUGAAGAUGCUUUUCAACCUAAAUAUAGACAACACCAAAUUUUUCUUCUUCCUUUUUUUUUCAUCUUACUUUUUUUUCUUCUUUUAAUCAAGGACAAGUUUCUUAUUACCAGCUUACAUACAUAGAAAUUUUGUCCCAAGAUCUAAAAAGGCCAAGUUAGUGAAUACCAUGUAUAAAAAGACUAAAAAAUAAUGUAGGCAAAAAAUAAAGAAUGCAGCCUAGAUAGCGCUGGAGCUGGGAGGUGGACUUGCCCGUGACGUGAAGAUGAAAAAGAACAUAUUUUUACACCUUCAGUCGAACGAUCUUAUUGUAUGAAGACUUUUUAAAAAUAUUGUGGUGGACAGCUUUACCAAAUGGGUGGGUUCUUGAGAGGCUAUUAGAAAUUAGGUAGUAAACACAUCAAAUUUGACGUUGAAUCAGGAACAUGCUAAAUUAUAAUCUCACUACAUGCUAAAUUGUUCCUUUUUUCAUUGGUUAGUUCAUCAAAGUGUUUUGGUUCAACCACGAAAGGUCCUUAUACACGCGUACCUCUUUUUGGUGCUCAUCUCCCAGCUCGCUAAUACAUAUAACUGUAUGGAUGGCAGGGGGGACCACAAGACACUAAAGACAAGGCACAAAAAGAUGAUCAACACAUCACUGUCUACCUUGAGUUCUCUCUUCAUAGAACUUCAGUAAGUAGAGGAACAAGUUCACCAGAGUCUAGAGCAUCUUCUAGAGCAGUGAUUAUACAUGUGAAUAAAAUUUUUAACGUAAGUGAUAUGCGAGUUCAAGAAAAUCAACAGAAAUGAAGUUGGAGCAGUUCAUACCAUAAUCGAACAAUUUUUGGAGUUGUUUGACCACCAACAACUUCAUCAAAUCGCAAUCACCAUACUUAAGAACAUCAACUAUUGAUGGAACAUCCAACUCUAAAACCAACAAAUCGGUUACCAUUCAAAACCACAUUCAGACUAUCGUUGGAAGCAAAAUACAAUCAGCUUGCUAAUCAACACACCUUCAGUGUAUACAACAUAAUGGGUCUAAAACACACUGGAUCUGAACGCUUAGGGUCAAUCUACCUGGUUUCUUAGAACACAAAAUGUGGGGCUCAUACCUCAGCUACUAAAGUAAAUAAAAGAAAAAGAAAGAGGAGUGAUUGAUGGAAAGAAAAACAAAUUGUGGGCGCCAGUGGUUUGCAAUUGCAAAUUGCAAUGAACCAG